AGCUCCAAUAGCGUAUAUUAAAGUUGUUGCGGUUAAAAGCUCGUAGUUGGAUUUCUGUUGAAGAGGGGCGGUCCGCACUAUGUGCGUGUAUCUGCUUCCGCUUUGGCAUCCUCUUGGGGUACGUAACUGUGCUUGAUUGCAUGGUGCGGAAUUCAAGACUUUUACUUUGAGGAAAUUAGAGUGUUCACGGCAGGCAAGCGCCUUGAAUACAUUAGCAUGGAAUAAUAAUAUAGGGCCUCGGUUCUAUUUUGUUGGUUUCUAGAACUGGGGUAAUGAUUAAUAGGGAUAAUUGGGGGGCAUUUGUAUUAACGCGUCAGAGGUGGAAUUCUUGGAUUGCGUUACGACAAACUACUGCGAAAGCAUUUGCCAAGGAUGUUUCA
RNAcentral lists this ribosomal RNA (380 nucleotides) under uncultured eukaryote. RNAcentral's name for it is "SSU rRNA". It matches the Rfam family "Eukaryotic small subunit ribosomal RNA", at positions 587 to 972 of the family's 1831-position model. The record is from RNAcentral.